UGUGGGAGAGAGAGACAGCUUCUCAAGGUCACACUAGCGGAGAGACAGACAGCUUCUCAAGGUCACACUGUGGGAGAGAGAGACAGCUUCUCAAGGUCACACUGUGGGAGAGAGAGACAGCUUCUCAAGGUCACACUGCAGGAGGUAGAGCGCCUCCCAGGGUUAGGCAUGCCUGAGAGAUUAUAACCUUUGGAUUUUAAAAUCAUUCAUGAAUAAAACAACAUGGUAACAUUUCAGCGUCUGGAGUUUUUGGUUAGCCAACAUCUACUACACGUUCAGCUGUGGGCGACAGGUCCGGAACCCCACGUUCUAACAGGACGACAGCUCCGGGUCUCCACGUUCUAACAGGAUGAUAGGUCCGGAACCCCACGUUCUAACAGGACGACAGCUCCGGGUCUCCACGUUCUAACAGGACGACAGCUCCGGGUCUCCACGUUCUAACAGGAUGAUAGGUCCGGGUCUCCACGUUCUAAACGGACGGGACCGCGGACAGACUCCACAUUCUAACAGGAGGGGACAGCUGACUGAACAGUCGGAUGCUAGCUUGGUCUUUGGACUGCUGCUUAUAAGAGAGGAAAAACAUUUUUAAGCGGGAAACCUUCGAUGAGUCUCCGCCUUCCUCCAGAGGCUCCACCCACCACACUUAACAACACACACACACACACACACCCCACAACACUUCAAAAAAAUACAAAAAAAGUCCUUCUUGAGCAUGAAACCAUGACUUUGGUGUGCUUGGUGUCAGAACACCACAGGUCCCUUGUGCAACCCUCUCCGGUCAACAUGUACAAUGUUACACAACUAUAAAUAAAACACUCUUGCAUUGCAAUGGAAUAUUUCAGCUCAAGUCUUUAACAUUUAACGGAACUCUUCACCACGGACGGAAUCUGUGGAGAACAUGAAUGGGUUUUGGAGAGGAGGCAGAUCCAUUUACUUGGUUCCAGAUCUAUAGAUAAGGAAUUGGAACCACUGGUCUGCCUGGUCCUAGUUUUCUUAUCUGACCAAACAACCGGCGCUUAUCUUCAUGAUAGAAAACACACACAACCACAGACUCGCUCACAUUCACACAACCUCAACACACUCACAUACAAGGAUCGAUCAACACACUCGCAUACACUCAAAAGAAAAGAAUCUACACACACACACACACAUUUAUCAACCAGGGGAACCCCCGUGAUGAGGAAAGACAUUCUGAGACAGAGACAUUCCAGAGAGUUCUCACUCGAGCUGUCUGAAGUAAUAAUCCCCCCCCCACCCAAACUAGACUGACAGUACCUUAAGGCUUAGGGUCUACUUCUGAUGAUUUUUAACGCUGAUGAGAAACAUGUCCAAAAUCCAAACAUUUAAAACACAAACUCAG
Long non-coding RNA from Clupea harengus (Atlantic herring), 1360 nucleotides. The record is from Ensembl. Lineage: Eukaryota; Metazoa; Chordata; Actinopteri; Clupeiformes; Clupeidae.